Molecule: ribosomal RNA, 259 nt
Filed under: uncultured bacterium
Lineage: Bacteria
Description: partial 16S ribosomal RNA
Rfam family: Bacterial small subunit ribosomal RNA
Source: RNAcentral
AACGAACGCUGGCGGCAGGCUUAACACAUGCAAGUCGAACGCAUCCUUCGGGGUGAGUGGCAGACGGGUGAGUAACACGUGGGAACGUACCUUUCGGUUCGGGAUAACCCAGGGAAACUUGGGCUAAUACCGGAUACGUCCUUUGGGAGAAAGAUUCAUUGCCGAAAGAUCGGCCCGCGUCUGAUUAGCUAGUUGGUGGGGUAAGUGGCCCACCAAGGCGACGAUCAGUAGCUGGUCUGAGAGGAUGAUCAGCCACACU